Long non-coding RNA from Asparagus officinalis (garden asparagus), 180 nucleotides. RefSeq lists it as uncharacterized. The transcript is spliced from 3 exons. Lineage: Eukaryota; Viridiplantae; Streptophyta; Magnoliopsida; Asparagales; Asparagaceae. The record is from RefSeq and is a predicted model, not a curated record.
GUAAUGGGCCGAACAAUAUGUUGCAGGCGGAAAAAGGUCAAAGUCGCUACCGAACGCGACAGUUCAAAACCAUCUGGAGGAAUAGGGACGGAAUUGCUUAGGUGUCUUCUUACUUGCGUUAACUGCCAACCCUGCGGUCCAACUAAAGCUGAAGAUUUUCGUAGAAGAGAUAUUGUCGAG